This is a long non-coding RNA of Pangasianodon hypophthalmus (striped catfish), 2591 nucleotides long. RefSeq lists it as uncharacterized. The record is from RefSeq and is a predicted model, not a curated record. The transcript is spliced from 4 exons. NCBI's taxonomy places the organism in Eukaryota, Metazoa, Chordata, Actinopteri, Siluriformes, Pangasiidae.
GCACAAUGCCAUAGCUUGUCGGACAUAGAAAUAAACAAGCUGGUCACGUACAGCCAAAUAAAUAUUGGAGAGAUCAGAGCGACCACUAGGGGGCGCGAACUGAAUCGUAAACCCUUUGGUUUCUGCGCACACACACACACACACACACUCUCUCUCUCUGCCAAAGCAAACGUUUGCGAAUUGCCCUUCAAGAGUCACUCUAAACUGCCUUCCCGUGAAACAUGAGUCUGGAGUCUACUUAGAAGGAAUGAGUGCGCACUUGGCGUUCCUGUAGGUGCAUGCCAGCCAGGAGACUCGGAGGAACUUUGUGAAUGAGAAACUGCAGCAAAUCUUUAUCGAGCCAACUCUGAAGGCAGAGCAGGAAGAAUAUAUCCAGGAGGGGAUUAAGUGGACUCCUACUGAUUACUUUAACAACAAAGCAGUGUGUGAUCUCAUUGAAAAUAAAUUGUUACUGCUUUAUCCUGGGCAGGGUCACGUUGGAUCUGGAGUCUAUCCCAGGAACACAGAGCGCGAGGAGGGAGUACACCCUGGAUGGACACCAGUCUAUCACAGUUUGUUUAUUCACUGAUCAGUUAAUUAUUGAGCGGCAGGAACACUCCUCCAUACAGUUAGACUUGGCAUCGUUGAUAAAUCCUCCUAGCAUCCAAAACCCCAUGCCUUCAUUAUCAGUGAAGAUUCUGAACCGGCUCCUUUCCCUGCAGAGCGCCACCACAGCGAAUUCCUCUCUACAGCUCCCUCAAAGCCGCCUCUGGCCUCCUUUUAGUCUGCAAACUCGUUAAUAGGAUGAAUAAGAGAGAAGAGUUGUGAGCCAUGAAAGCAGGCUAGUUCAAUUUGGGCCAAGGAGGCUGAACACGAACUGCUGAAGGGCGGAAGAAUGGAUUCUGAGAGGGAAAGAUGUCGCUCUGAGCCAUAAAGUCUAACGCAAUAAAUUAUCAGCAACGCAAUAAGCGAUUUCCAGGAGACAUUUUAAAAAAACUAACAACCAUCUUUCCCUGCACCAGGGAAAAAUGGCAAAAGCAAGCUGGCAAAAAGGAUCCAAUUUAAACAGGCUCAGGCUAUCAAGUGAAAUGUCAUAUAUUUUUCCUAUGGUUCUUAUAAUGUUUACUUGCGAGGAAGAGGAGUCAGAGUAAUAGUUAGCAAACAGCUGCUGGCAAGGCAAGCUAAACAUCCAUGGACUGAAUUUCUACACUUCUACACAGAAUUCUCUAAAAAUGGGCUCGAGGAUCACUUCUUGUGAUAUUCAGCAUCGACCUCCUGACUUUCUGCCAGGGGUCAAUAAAAAAUCUGAUCAAAAACUCUGAUAUUUGUUGCACCACUGAUUCUGUGAAGAAGAAAACAAAUUAUGUGGUCCAUUACCAGCCAAUCAAUCAGCACAAGCAGGCAUUUUCACUUGCCUGUCAAAUGUUACCAGUCAUUUCAGAAAGUUCGACCUCUUGCUCUCAAGAAUCUAGCAUUCAGACCUCCUAGCCUAGGCUGUGUGUGCUGAAGUUCUUGUGCAUGAGGUGGAACUGAAGGUAUUUGUUUGGAUUCUGAAUUUAAAAAUUGGUAGUUUCAGCUAACUUGUGCUAAAUCUGAUAGCUAUAACAGAUAUGUUACUUUUGCACUGGCACAGCGGGAAGCAUUGCUGCCUCACAGCUCCAGUGUCCAAUGUCCAGCUCCAAUCCUGAGCUCAGGUUACUGUUGGUACAGAGAUUCACGUUCUCCUUGUGUCUAUGUGGAUUUUUUCUGAGUUUUAUGGUUUGCUCCCAAAAACAGACCAGUAAGUGGCUUUGCUGCUGGUGCAUGGGGCGUUGUGACUGUCCAUCCAUUCGAGUUGUAUUCCAACCUCAUGCCCAGUGUUCCUGGGAUAGGUUCUGGACUCACCAUGAGCCUAACCAGGAAAAAACAGCUACUGAAGAUGAUGAGCUUUUGCACUGGAUCUGCUAAUAGAUGAAGGCUAUUAGCAUUAAAGGAUUACCAAUUAGCUUAAUGCAAACUGCAUAUAGAAAUUAUUGCACAUUUGCCUAAAAAACAUUCAAAAUGUUGGAAGCAAAUAAGCAAUUAAACAAUUUAACAAUGACUCACUGAAAAAAAUGACAUCUAAUAUAUCAAAUAGUCAAAUUUACCUAAUAUGUCCUAUUAUAAGGUUACAAUAAACCAAAUACAAGAUUAUGAAACCUAUUUUAAACAUUCUACUAAUUUCAAGUUUGAAAUAAUCUUGUUCUGUUAAUUGUAAGCAUUUAUUUCAAGAAAGAAGCAAAAUGAUUUGCCAAUAGACAACCAGAAAUAGGUUUAAUCAUUUUAUAUUUGGUUUAUUUGUAAUCUCAUAAUAGGUAAUAUUAGAUCAAAUUGACUAUAUUCAAGAUAUUUCCACUUGAUGUCAUUUCUUGCAGUGAGUCAAGUUGUUUAUUUGCUUAUUAACACUGUACGUCUUCACUGAUGAACAAAAGAAGCAAAAUUUUAAAACCAAGCAAACAUACAUUUCAUGAAUGUACAUGAAAAUAUGGGGCCUUGAGAAGAAAUUACCUAGCUACAUUCCGAGGCAAUCCACAAACAGAUUAUUUUAAGGAUCAGUGAAUCUGAUCAGUGAAUUUAGUCGAUUCAAUUAUUCA